Phascolarctos cinereus (koala) is the source of this 130-nucleotide small nuclear RNA. Lineage: Eukaryota; Metazoa; Chordata; Mammalia; Diprotodontia; Phascolarctidae. The record is from Ensembl.
GUUCUAUAUGGAAGAAGAGAAGGUUAGCAUUCCCCUAGAUGAAGAUGGAAGAGGUCCUAGUGGCCUUCACAACAUACACACAGUUACGUAUUGCCACUGUGGGUAGAGAGCUCAAGUAACUCCAUUUUGU